AGUCUCGGCAACGGAUAUCUAGGCUCUCGCAUCGAUGAAGAACGUAGCAAAAUGCGAUACUUGGUGUGAAUUGCAGAAUCCCGUGAACCAUCGAGUUUUUGAACGCAAGUUGCGCCCGAAGCCAUUAGGCUGAGGGCACGUCUGCUUGGGAGUCUCA
Molecule: ribosomal RNA, 157 nt
Filed under: Primula marginata
Lineage: Eukaryota; Viridiplantae; Streptophyta; Magnoliopsida; Ericales; Primulaceae
Description: 5.8S ribosomal RNA
Rfam family: 5.8S ribosomal RNA
About the family: 5.8S ribosomal RNA (5.8S rRNA) is a component of the large subunit of the eukaryotic ribosome. It is transcribed by RNA polymerase I as part of the 45S precursor that also contains 18S and 28S rRNA. Functionally, it is thought that 5.8S rRNA may be involved in ribosome translocation.
Source: RNAcentral